This 84-nucleotide microRNA precursor is filed under the name Bombyx mori (domestic silkworm). RNAcentral's name for it is "mir-2807 microRNA precursor family". It matches the Rfam family "mir-2807 microRNA precursor family". Lineage: Eukaryota; Metazoa; Arthropoda; Insecta; Lepidoptera; Bombycidae. The record is from Rfam by way of RNAcentral.
UUAAUUCAAAUUUGUAUGGAGCUGGAACGUUUGCGUACGUUUGCCGCUAGGGGCGCCGUUGCAACUGCAUACGAAUGUGAGAAC